Molecule: non-coding RNA, 165 nt
Filed under: unclassified sequences
Description: FuFi-1 RNA
Rfam family: FuFi-1 RNA
Source: Rfam by way of RNAcentral
UUCAUCAGCUAAUGGGCUAAUCACAUGCUGAACUAAAACUGCAUAAGUGGUGAAAUGCUUGAUAGAAGCACUCAGCGUUAUUAAGUGUGAUGAAAAUCUGCAAAGCAUAAAAAGUGAAAAAAUUUAGCACUAAACUGUUAGAGAUAACGCCUCUGGCAGUUUUUU